Molecule: long non-coding RNA, 488 nt
Organism: Limulus polyphemus (Atlantic horseshoe crab)
Lineage: Eukaryota; Metazoa; Arthropoda; Merostomata; Xiphosura; Limulidae
Exons: 2
Source: RefSeq, a predicted model, not a curated record
AGUGGCAGCAUGUUUCAUUCUUCAUGUUGAUGAUACCUCAGGUCCUGAUGAGACCAUUGAAAAGCUUCGACAGCUUUGUGGCCCUGGUGCCGUGCAGACAGUUAAGCAAUACAAUUUUGUACAUGAAUUCAGAAGUCUCCGAAGCCAGUGGCAAGAAGAAUACACUGAUAGACUACUAUCAAGAUCAGUCUCCCGCUAAAAUAUUUAAUUAUAUAGCUGCUUGUGUAGCCUAGUCUAAGUUGUCUACUUUGUACUUUAGAAUAACCAUGAACUGUGAGACCAUAUAUAUUAUUGUUAUUUGUGCAGGAAUUAUGUCUUUGGUUGGAAUUUUUGCUUUGCUUUUUUUAUUUUCUGUUUAGAAGUACAAAUGAUGUAAUGAAAUGCUUUCUCUAGAUUAUAAAUCAUACACAAACGGAGGAACUUGUUUACGAAGAUUUUAUUCUUUUUGAUAUUUCUGGAAAUUUAUAUUUAAUAAAUCCUACUGCAGA